UUCUUUUUAUAUUCCAUAUUAUUCUGUAAAAUCUAGCUUCCUAAUAUAGGAAAUUUAUUGAACAAAUGUUAGUGUAAUUGCUAGAGGGAAAACAAGAUAAGGGAAAUAGGAAGGGCGUGUAUAUGCACUGAGUGGAGGACAUGAUAAUUUCAGAUGGAGCUGGUCGGAGAAUGACUAACUACAGAAGACCUGAAAGAGCUGCGGGAGAUAAUGUGGUUAUAUACAGUUGAUCCUUGAGCAACAUGGAUUUGAACUUUAUGGGUCCACUCAUACACAGAUAAUUUUCAUUUGCAGGAGAUUCCAUGAACAGAGGAGGCCAUGUGAAGAGGCAGAUUUAAUGUUGGCCUUGAGAUUGGAGUGAUGCAGCUUCUAGCUGAGGGAUGCUGGCAGCCACCAGAAGCUGGAAGGUGUGAGGAACAUGUUGAUUCCCGGUCCCCCAGAGCCUCCUGGGGGAGCAUACACUUGAUUUGAUCCAGUGGAGUUGAUUUCUUACUUUUGGCCCACAGAAUUGUGAGAGAAUACAUUUCUGUUGUCUCAGUAAGCCACCAAGUUUGCGGUAAUGUUACAGCAGCCUCAGGUAUCCAAUACUGAUGGAAAGCUUAAGAUCACAAAUACAGCCAGAGCUGGAACCUCACCACACCACACCACACCACCUCCUAUGCUGUGUUUUCACUAGUACCUUACUGGUGGGUAGGUGAGGGUAGAUCUUAACUGUUAGUCAAUUUAGAAAUUUUCAGAGGUAUGGCAAUUGUUAAAAUUUACUUAGAUUUGCAUCACAAGAGUUGUCAGCAUGUGGCUAAAAUAUGGAAGAUUAGCAAAUACUUCAUAAUAAAAUACAGAUUAUCAAAACAAGUAUAAGAAA
This is a long non-coding RNA of Lagenorhynchus albirostris (white-beaked dolphin), 862 nucleotides long. RefSeq lists it as uncharacterized. The transcript has 2 exons. NCBI's taxonomy places the organism in Eukaryota, Metazoa, Chordata, Mammalia, Artiodactyla, Delphinidae. The record is from RefSeq and is a predicted model, not a curated record.